Non-coding RNA from Echria macrotheca, 90 nucleotides. The record is from the annotation of a GenBank genome assembly. NCBI's taxonomy places the organism in Eukaryota, Fungi, Ascomycota, Sordariomycetes, Sordariales, Schizotheciaceae.
GGCUUCGUGGUUUAGGGGUAUAAUUCUCGCUUAGGGCUCACCCGAAGCGUUGUCUGCGAGAGGUCCCGGGUUCGAAUCCCGGCGAAGCCC